Molecule: long non-coding RNA, 1029 nt
Organism: Astatotilapia calliptera (eastern happy)
Lineage: Eukaryota; Metazoa; Chordata; Actinopteri; Cichliformes; Cichlidae
Source: Ensembl
CUGUAACGGAAUACAGUUACUCAUAUUUUGUAUUUUAAAUACGUAACGGCGGUACAUGUAUGCCGUUACUCCCCAACACUGCAGAAGAUGAACCUUCGCCCAAGCUCGAUGUCCAGCACACUUUUGGACCAGGUUAUGUCUCAUUCGUCUUUUCCUUCAGAGAGUCCUUCACAGGCCUUUGGGCAAACUCCAGGUGGGCUGUCGUAGCUGGUUUCCUUUAGCACCUACUCGCCUGAGCCCGCCUCUGUUUGUGUCGUGCUCUAUUACAUUUGAGUUUCACCUCAAUAUGUGUGGGGUUGUCAUGGGAACACAACCAACAUCCCAUGUGUCUAUGUGCCACAAACACAAUGGAUGACAUUGAGGCGAUGGUAUACCCGCUGCUUGGUCUGUGGGUGUUUGUCAGACUCGAGCACCAUGAUGUCAGUUUGUAGGUAACCCUUGUUGCCGAGUUUCAGAAAUGCCAGGUUUCAUCUAACUCGUGAUUCAUCUAAUGACACCGCUGGCUGGCCAAUUGGGGGCUUUUGAUGUCACAUUUUUAGACUGACUCUGCUCGGUUGGAAAGCCAGGCCAGCAUUUGCUAAAAAAGUACCUGGUACCAGGUACUACUCCCUGAUGGAAAGCCCUAGAAACUAGGUUGAGCUCAGCCGAGUAGGUACUAGAUGAGAGGCGCAGAAGAUUGCCCAGAUUGCAGACAUUACUGACAGACGAUCAGUGUGCACAGCUAAACAAACAUGAGUGUCGGGGCUGUGAGUACUUGUGUCCAUCUUAUACUUUAACAUGGACAGUCAGCUGACUGUGCAGAGGUGAAAAUGAAUGUCAUGGAAUAAGGCUGUAACGUGACAACACGAGGAACACUGAAUGCUUCCAGGAUGAUGUGCAGAGAUCAUCUAUGAUGUUUCUGUGUCUCCUGCUCGAGGAGCACCAGCUCAGACACUGGAUGGCAGCAGGAGGCUCUGUGUGUGUUUAAUGUGUAAUAAAAGUGUCUGUAACUGUCCGGUGAUGGAGCCCUGUCACGCUCGGUCCUUUUAU